AACGAACGCUGGCGGCAUGCCUAACACAUGCAAGUCGCGCGAGAAAGUCCGCAAGGAUGAGUAAAGCGGCGAACGGGUGAGUAACACGUAGGUAACCUGCCUUACAGUCCGGGACAACCUGUCGAAAGACGGGCUAAUACUGGAUAAGACCACGACUCUUUCGGGAGCAGUGGUAAAAGAUGGCCUCUUCAUGAAAGCUAUCGCUGAAAGAUGGGCCUGCGCACCAUUAGCUAGUUGGUAGGGUAAUGGCCUACCAAGGCUACGAUGGUUAGCUGAUCUUAGAGGAUGAUCAGCCACACUGGAACUGAAACACGGUCCAGACUCCUACGGGUGGCUG
This 337-nucleotide ribosomal RNA is filed under the name uncultured bacterium. RNAcentral describes it as "bacterial SSU rRNA". It matches the Rfam family "Bacterial small subunit ribosomal RNA", at positions 29 to 351 of the family's 1533-position model. The record is from RNAcentral.